UACGUAGGGGGCAAGCGUUGUCCGGAUUUACUGGGCGUAAAGAGCGUGUAGGCGGCCACGCAGGUCCGUUGUGAAAACUGGAGGCUCAACCUCCAGCUGUCGACGGAAACCGUAUGGCUAGAGUCCGGAAGAGGAGAGUGGAAUUCCUGGUGUAGCGGUGAAAUGCGCAGAUAUCAGGAGGAACACCAAUGGCGAAGGCAGCUCUCUGGGACGGUACUGACGCUGAGACGCGAAAGCGUGGGGAGCGAACAGG
This 253-nucleotide ribosomal RNA is filed under the name uncultured bacterium. RNAcentral describes it as "partial 16S ribosomal RNA". It matches the Rfam family "Bacterial small subunit ribosomal RNA", at positions 524 to 776 of the family's 1533-position model. The record is from RNAcentral.